RNAcentral lists this ribosomal RNA (106 nucleotides) under Caerostris darwini. Lineage: Eukaryota; Metazoa; Arthropoda; Arachnida; Araneae; Araneidae. The record is from RNAcentral.
AUACCGGUACUGAUUAUACCGGUUCUCGUUAGAUCACCGAAGUCAAGCAUCAUUGGGCGUGGUCAGUACUUGGGUGGGUGACCACCUGGGAACACCGCAUGCCGUU